Molecule: non-coding RNA, 526 nt
Organism: Pelobates cultripes (western spadefoot toad)
Lineage: Eukaryota; Metazoa; Chordata; Amphibia; Anura; Pelobatidae
Source: the annotation of a GenBank genome assembly
CAAUGAGUUUUUCGCAGCCUUGUACAGUCAACACAUCAUAACGUUCAAUUAGUCAAUAAUCUUGAGCUGAUUCUUUCUUCUUGCAAAGUUUGAUUCGCUUUACAUCUUCAAUUAUCGAAUCAUACUUUCGUUUUUUCAUUAAAACACUAUUAUAUUUCGAAUCUUCGCUAAAGAGCUUUGCCAAGAAUCUUUUCUUCAUUUUACUCAACAAUUAUGUGCUAGGAGUUAAAUUUAUCUGUUUUCAAACUGGCAGCUAGGAGUUAAAACUGGCAGCCAAUGCAAAUUAUGAGGAAAGCAAAUUAUGAGGCAGGCAAAUUAUGUGACUGAGAAAAGGUUUUGAAAAUGAAACAGUAAUGCUGGAUUUUCCUGCAUUAAAUGCAGACUUUUUUUCACACUUUCUUGUUAGUGUGCAGUCACUCUAUAAGAAGCUGUGUCUCUGUGAGCAAUUAUGAGCGGUGAAACGAGAGAUAUGUAUUGGUCUCUGUUUCAAAUUGCCAUAGCAACUAGUGCACACAUGGAAACCCGC